UGAGUUCGAUGAGUAGGGCGGGACACGUGACAUCCUGUCUGAAUAUGGGGGGACCAUCCUCCAAGGCUAAAUACUCCUGACUGACCGAUAGUGAACCAGUACCGUGAGGGAAAGGCGAAAAGAACCCCGGCGAGGGGAGUGAAAUAGAACCUGAAACCGUGUACGUACAAGCAGUGGGAGCACCUUCGUGGUGUGACUGCGUACCUUUUGUAUAAUGGGUCAGCGACUUAUUUUCAGUGGCGAGCUUAACCGAAUAGGGGAGGCGUAGCGAAAGCGAGUCUUAAUAGGGCGUCUAGUCGCUGGGAAUAGACCCGAAACCGGGCGAUCUAUCCAUGGGCAGGUUGAAGGUUAGGUAACACUGACUGGAGGACCGAACCGACUACCGUUGAAAAGUUAGCGGAUGACCUGUGGAUCGGAGUGAAAGGCUAAUCAAGCUCGGAGAUAGCUGGUUCUCCUCGAAAGCUAUUUAGGUAGCGCCUCAUGUAUCACUGUAGGGGGUAGAGCACUGUUUCGGCUAGGGGGCCAUCCCGGCUUACCAAACCGAUGCAAACUCCGAAUACCGAAGAAUGUUAUCACGGGAGACACACGGCGGGUGCUAACGUCCGUCGUGAAGAGGGAAACAACCCAGACCGCCAGCUAAGGUCCCAAAGUCAUGGUUAAGUGGGAAACGAUGUGGGAAGGCAUAGACAGCCAGGAUGUUGGCUUAG
This 707-nucleotide ribosomal RNA is filed under the name Bacillus velezensis. RNAcentral's name for it is "bacterial LSU rRNA". It matches the Rfam family "Bacterial large subunit ribosomal RNA", at positions 400 to 1109 of the family's 2925-position model. The record is from RNAcentral. Lineage: Bacteria; Bacillati; Bacillota; Bacilli; Caryophanales; Bacillaceae.